Molecule: ribosomal RNA, 220 nt
Filed under: uncultured bacterium
Lineage: Bacteria
Description: partial 16S ribosomal RNA
Rfam family: Bacterial small subunit ribosomal RNA
Source: RNAcentral
UCCACGCCGUAAACGAUGCUAACUCGUUUUUGGGUUUUCGGAUUCAGAGACUAAGCGAAAGUGAUAAGUUAGCCACCUGGGGAGUACGUUCGCAAGAAUGAAACUCAAAGGAAUUGACGGGGGCCCGCACAAGCGGUGGAUUAUGUGGUUUAAUUCGAUGAUACGCGAGGAACCUUACCAAGGCUUAAAUGGGAAUUGACAGGCUUAGAAAUAGGCUUUU